AGUGAACGCUGGCGGUAGGCCUAACACAUGCAAGUCGAACGGCAGCACAGUAAGAGCUUGCUCUUACGGGUGGCGAGUGGCGGACGGGUGAGGAAUACAUCGGAAUCUACUUUUUCGUGGGGGAUAACGUAGGGAAACUUACGCUAAUACCGCAUACGACCUACGGGUGAAAGCAGGGGAUCUUCGGACCUUGCGCGAUUGAAUGAGCCGAUGUCGGAUUAGCUAGUUGGCGGGGUAAAGGCCCACCAAGGCGACGAUCCGUAGCUGGUCUGAGAGGAUGAUCAGCCACACUGGAACUGAGACACGGUCCAGACCCCUACGGGAGGCAGCAGUGGGGAAUAUUGGACAAUGGGCGCAAGCCUGAUCCAGCCAUACCGCGUGGGUGAAGAAGGCCUUCGGGUUGUAAAGCCCUUUUGUUGGGAAAGAAAAGCAGCAGGUUAAUACCCCGCUGUUCUGACGGUGCCCAAAGAAUAAGCACCGGCUAACUUCGUG
This 492-nucleotide ribosomal RNA is filed under the name uncultured bacterium. RNAcentral's name for it is "partial 16S ribosomal RNA". It matches the Rfam family "Bacterial small subunit ribosomal RNA", at positions 29 to 507 of the family's 1533-position model. The record is from RNAcentral.